GGGAAUCUACCCUGAACUGCGGAAUAGCUCCGGGAAACUGGAAUUAAUACCGCAUGUGCCCUGAGGGGCAAAGAUUUAUCGGUUCAGGAUGAGCCCGCGUCCGAUUAGCUAGUUGGUGGGGUAAAGGCCUACCAAGGCGACGAUCGGUAGCUGGUCUAAGAGGAUGAUCAGCCACAUUGGGACUGAGACACGGCCCAAACUCCUACGGGAGGCAGCAGUGGGGAAUAUUGGACAAUGGGCGCAAGCCUGAUCCAGCCAUGCCGCGUGAGUGAUGAAGGCCCUAGGGUUGUAAAGCUCCUUCAGUGGGGACGAUAAUGACGGUACCCACAGAAGAAGCCCCGGCUAACUUCGUGCCAGCAGCCGCGGUAAUACGAAGGGGGCUAGCGUUGUUCGGAAUUACUGGGCGUAAAGCGCACGUAGGCGGACAUUUAAGUCAGGGGUGAAAUCCCGGGGCUCAACCCCGGAACUGCCUUUGAUACUGGGUGUCUUGAGUUCGGAAGAGGUGAGUGGAAUUGCGAGU
This 520-nucleotide ribosomal RNA is filed under the name uncultured bacterium. RNAcentral describes it as "bacterial SSU rRNA". It matches the Rfam family "Bacterial small subunit ribosomal RNA", at positions 120 to 674 of the family's 1533-position model. The record is from RNAcentral.